CGAUCUUAAAAGUCCAACUUUUAAGAUCAGUCACGAUAAUAGCCGAUCUUAAAAGCUGGACUUUUAAGAUUG
Molecule: microRNA precursor, 72 nt
Filed under: Cajanus cajan (pigeon pea)
Lineage: Eukaryota; Viridiplantae; Streptophyta; Magnoliopsida; Fabales; Fabaceae
Description: miRNA gene-KK1_046805
Source: RNAcentral